GGUAGAAUGGCCGAAAAUAAGCAUUAGACUGUAAAUCUAAAGAUAAGGUUACACACCUUUUCUACCA
Molecule: transfer RNA, 67 nt
Filed under: Geocapromys ingrahami (Bahamian hutia)
Lineage: Eukaryota; Metazoa; Chordata; Mammalia; Rodentia; Capromyidae
Description: tRNA-Tyr
Rfam family: tRNA
About the family: Transfer RNA (tRNA) molecules are approximately 80 nucleotides in length. Their secondary structure includes four short double-helical elements and three loops (D, anti-codon, and T loops).
Source: RNAcentral